This 419-nucleotide ribosomal RNA is filed under the name bacterium. RNAcentral describes it as "partial 16S ribosomal RNA". It matches the Rfam family "Bacterial small subunit ribosomal RNA", at positions 355 to 776 of the family's 1533-position model. The record is from RNAcentral.
UGGGGGAUAUUGCACAAUGGGCGAAAGCCUGAUGCAGCGACGCCGCGUGGGGGAUGAAGGCCUUCGGGUUGUAAACUUCUUUUGCUCUGAACAAGGCGCACCAUGGGGUGUGUUGAGUGUAGGGGUUGAUUAGCGCCGGCUAACUACGUGCCAGCAGCCGCGGUAAUACGUAGGGCGCGAGCGUUGUCCGGAAUUAUUGGGCGUAAAGGGCUUGUAGGUGGCUGGUUGCGUCUGUCGUGAAAGCUCAUGGCUUAACUGUGGGUUUGCGGUGGGUACGGGCUGGCUUGAGUGCAGUAGGGGAGGCUGGAUUUCCUGGUGUAGCGGUGGAAUGCGCAGAUAUCAGGAGGAAGACCGGUGGCGAAGGCGGGUCUCUGGGCUGUUACUGACACUGAGGAGCGAAAGCAUGGGGAGCGAACAGG